This 127-nucleotide small RNA is filed under the name Marmota monax (woodchuck). The record is from RNAcentral. Lineage: Eukaryota; Metazoa; Chordata; Mammalia; Rodentia; Sciuridae.
GCUGGGGGCUGUGGUGUACACCUGUAAUCCCAGCAGCAUGGGAGGCUGAGACAGGAGGAUCGAGAGUUCAAAGCCAGCCUCAGCAACUUAACAAAGUCUUAAGCAACUCAGUGAGACCCUGUCUCAA